Molecule: ribosomal RNA, 503 nt
Filed under: uncultured Glomus
Lineage: Eukaryota; Fungi; Glomeromycota; Glomeromycetes; Glomerales; Glomeraceae
Description: SSU rRNA
Rfam family: Eukaryotic small subunit ribosomal RNA
Source: RNAcentral
AGCAGCCGCGGUAAUUCCAGCUCCAAUAGCGUAUAUUAAAGUUGUUGCAGUUAAAAAGCUCGUAGUUGAAUUUCGGGGUUAGCAGGUCGGUCGUGCCAUCGGUAUGAACUGGUCUCGCUGAUCCCUCCCUCUUGACGAACUGUGAUGCCAUUAAUUUGGUGUCGCAGGGAAUCAGGACUGUUACUUUGAAAAAUUAGAGUGUUUAAAGCAGGCUCACGCUUGAAUACAUUAGCAUGGAAUAAUGAAAUAGGACGUUUGAUCCUAUUUUGUUGGCUUCUAGGAUUGACGUAAUGAUUAAUAGGGAUAGUUGGGGGCAUUAGUAUUCAAUUGUCAGAGGUGAAAUUCUUGGAUUUAUUGAAGACUAACUACUGCGAAAGCAUCUGCCAAGGAUGUUUUCAUUAAUCAAGAACGAAAGUUAGGGGAUCGAAGACGAUCAGAUACCGUCGUAGUCUUAACCAUAAACUAUGCCGACUAGGGAUCGAAUGAUGUAAUUUUUAAUGACU